GUUUGUCACGAGAGAUCAUCAAUCUGCAUUGAUUACGUCCCUGCCCUUUGUACACACCGCCCGUCGCACCUACCGAUUGAAUGGUCCGGUGAAGCCUCGGGAUUGUGAUUAGUUUCCUUUAUUGGAAAACUUGUCUAAACCUUAUCAUUUAGAGGAAGGUGAAGUCGUAACAAGGUUUCCGUAGGUGAACCUGCGGAAGGAUCA
This 204-nucleotide ribosomal RNA is filed under the name Pseudo-nitzschia pungens. RNAcentral describes it as "partial 18S ribosomal RNA". It matches the Rfam family "Eukaryotic small subunit ribosomal RNA", at positions 1613 to 1828 of the family's 1831-position model. The record is from RNAcentral. Lineage: Eukaryota; Bacillariophyta; Bacillariophyceae; Bacillariales; Bacillariaceae.